Molecule: long non-coding RNA, 1760 nt
Filed under: Homo sapiens (human)
Lineage: Eukaryota; Metazoa; Chordata; Mammalia; Primates; Hominidae
Description: HSALNT0068898
Source: RNAcentral
GAUUGUCAGGCAGAUCUGGCUGUGGAAAGGAGACUGUGGACAGCAAGUUUAGAGGCGUGACUGAAAGUCUUGCUGCGAUCUGAGCUGCUGAAUCAGGUUUCUGGUUACUAUGGGCAACGGCCGUGUUUUCUUUUUGAUGUCCUUUGCAGUGGAUCACAGCUACCUGCUGAGAAACUCCUAGAGGGCAGAGGCAUGCCUGCCAUCUUCAUCAUUGCAUUACCAUCACCCAACACUAUCAGGGGACCUGCCCUGAUAAUCAGACAUUUGAAAUUCUACAAUGAACUCAUCAGGGAUGCAAAUGAAAGUGCCUCUGCAGAGACAGAAAACCCGCAAUCGAGCAUCAUCGACUCGCAGGGUGAACAAAAUGGUGAUAUCAGAAGAACAGAUGAAGUUACAAUCCACCAAGGAAACUGCACAUGUGGAGAGUCAGGGAGAGGAAGAGAAAGAAAAAGAGACAGAGAUCAGAGAGAGACACAGAAAGUGAGACUGGGGAGAGAGAUAGUAUAAAAUAGAGAGAGAGAGAGAGACCGUAAGAGAAGGGAGACAAAGAGAUAAAAGGUGCGAGUGAGCAGGUGAGGAGAAAGACUGAAAACGAUGAGAAACAGCAACUAAGACACAAAGGAGUCUACAGUUGUAUCCAGCAGCUCCAGAGAGACAGCGACCAGCAAGAAGGGGCCAUGAUGAUGGUGGUGGUUUUUUCAAAACGAAAAGGGGGAUAUGUAGGGAAAAGAAAGAGAGAUCAGACUCUUACAGACUCUUACUGUGUCUACAUAGAAAGGGAAGACAUAAGAGACUCCAUUUGGAAAAAGACCUGUACUUUAAACAAUUGCUUUGCUGAGAUGUUGUUAAUCUGUAGCUUUGCCCCAGCCACUUUGCCCCAACCACUUUGACCCAGUCUGGAGCUCACAAAAACAUGUGUUGUAUGAAAUCAAGGUUUAAGGCAUGUAGGGCUGUGCAGGAUGUGCCUUGUUAACCAAAUGUUUGCAAGCAGUAUACUUGGUAAAAGUCAUCACCAUUCUCUUGUCUCAAUAAACCAGGGGCACAAUGCACUGUGGAAAGCCGCAGGGACCUCUGCCCUUGAAAGCUGGGUAUUAUUCAAAGUUUCCCCCCAUGUGAUAGUCUGAAAUAUGGCCUCGUGGGAUGAGAAAGGCCUGACGGUCCCCUAGCCCGACACCCAUAAAAGGUCUGUGCUGAGGUGGAUUAGUCAAAGAGGAAAGACUCUUGCAUUUGAGAUAGAGGAAGGCCACUGUCUCCUGCCUGCCCCUGGGAACUGAAUGUCUCGGUAUAAAACACGAUUGUACAUUUGUUCAAUUCUGAGAUGGGAGAAAAACCGCCCUAUGGUGGGAGGUGAGACAUGUUUACAGCAAUACUGCCUUGAUAUUCUUUACUCCACUGAGAUGUUUGGGUGGAGAGAAACAUAAAUCUGGCUUACAUGCACGUUCAGUCAUAGUACCUUCCCUUGAACUUCAUUAUGACAUAGAUUCUAUUGCUCACAUGUUUGUUGCUGACCUUCUUAUUAUCACCCUGCCCUCCUACUACAUUCCUUUUUGCUGAAAUAAUAAAGAUAGUAUUCAAUAAAAACUGAGGGAACUCAGAGACCGGUGCCAGUGCAGGUCCUUGGUAUGCUAAGCGCCGGUACCCUGGGCCCACUGUUGUUUCUCUAUACUUUGUUUCUGUGUCUGAUUUCUUUUCUGUCUCUCAUCCCACCCAACAAGAAAUACCCACAGGUGUGGAGGGGCAGGCCACCCCUUCAGUAUGAG